CUUCGGGGCGGGGUGAAAUUCCCCACCGGCGGUGACAGUCCGCGAGCCCGCAAGGGUUGACAGGGUGAAAUUCCCUGACCGACGGUACAGUCCGGAUGAGAGAAG
This 105-nucleotide non-coding RNA is filed under the name bovine gut metagenome. RNAcentral describes it as "FMN riboswitch (RFN element)". It matches the Rfam family "FMN riboswitch aptamer (RFN element)". Rfam says of the family: The RFN element is a highly conserved domain that is found frequently in the 5'-untranslated regions of prokaryotic mRNAs that encode for flavin mononucleotide (FMN) biosynthesis and transport proteins. This element is a metabolite-dependent riboswitch that directly binds FMN in the absence of proteins. In Bacillus subtilis, the riboswitch most likely controls gene expression by causing premature transcription termination within the 5' untranslated region of the ribDEAHT operon and precluding access to the ribosome-binding site of ypaA mRNA. The record is from RNAcentral.